This 2079-nucleotide ribosomal RNA is filed under the name Triticum aestivum (bread wheat). Its description in RNAcentral is "partial small subunit ribosomal RNA". The record is from RNAcentral. Lineage: Eukaryota; Viridiplantae; Streptophyta; Magnoliopsida; Poales; Poaceae.
AUGCCAUCGUGGAUGGAACUGUGGAAUGAGUGGGAGAUCCAAGUUGUUGUUGUUGCUAGCUUCAGUCUGCAGGUUAUCCUCUUCUUCUUUGCUGGGAUCCGCCGCUACAGUCUCUCGUUUGUUCUCAAGUCCCUCCUCUGGCUGGUGUAUCUGCUUGCUGAUCUCGCUGCGACGUACGCCCUGGGGCACAUGUCCUCGACGUUGUCGAAAAAAUCGUCCGGCGAGCACCAGCUGGUGGCGUUCUGGGCACCGUUCCUCCUCCUGCACCUUGGCGGCCAGGACACCAUCACCGCGUACGCCCUGGAGGACAAUGAACUCUGGCUGCGCCACCUGCUAAACAUGUUUCUGCAGGUCGCUGGCGCCGGGUAUGUGCUCUACAAGUACAUCACCGCAGGCAGGGGGGCCUUUGUCCCUGCUGCUAUGUUAAUUCUGGCCGCCGGAGUUAUCAAGUACGGAGAGAGGAUAUGGGCACUGAAGCUUGCAAGCAAGGGUGGUUCCCAUUACAGAAGGUCACCAUGUACUACUUCUCGAUCAACGAUGAUCUAUAAAAAAAUUCGUAAGUAUUUUCCAGAGAAGCCUAAGGAAGAUGCGGACCUGGACAUAUUUGUGAGGUGGACCAGUGCAACAUACUGGUUCACCAAAAGCAAGCGGUUCAGGAAUUAUGCAUCUAUUGUGAGGACAGCACAUGAGUUGCGGUAUGCGCUUGUCAAGCCUUUAAUCAUAGACAGGAAUGAGGCAUCCAUAGAAUGGGAUCGUCCCGGAAUAAGGCUACUAACAUCUCAGGCAUUUGCACGGCGGAAGACGCGUAUUGGGGAGGUGUACAAGGCAAUCGAGGUGGAGCUCGGCCUGAUGUAUGACAUGCUGUACACCAAGGCAGAAGUCAUCCACACAUCAUAUGGCUACUUCACCCGUGCCAUUUCACUUGUGUCUUGCUUCGCCGCUCUGGUGGUCUUCACAAGAAUCAAGAGAGAUGACUACAACACACCUGACGUUGUUAUCACUUUUGCUCUCCUGGGCGGAGCUUGCGCACUGGAGACUGCAUCAGUUUUGAAGGUGAUCGGCUCAACCUGGACAUAUGCAGUCUUGAAAGGCGCAUGGGGAGGGAGCCUGCUGGCCGAUGUGGUUCUGUUUGCACGGUACCACCUCGUUGUCGUCAAGGAUGGAAGGUGGUCCAAUUCCGUCGGGCAAUUUGACUUUAUAUAUUUCUGUUAUCAGAGCAACAAGAACGACCUCAAGGGAAGAAUAGCCCGUUUGAUUAGGCUUCGGGACAUGUGGGACAAAGCUCGCAGCACCAAACGUGCCAAGCUUUCACCUGCCGUGAAGGAGUUCAUAUGGGACUUGCUCAGAGGUGAGAAGAGUCAUAUGGUACAAAUUGAAGACGUAGCCAUCCAGAGUGGGUACUGGGCUCGCAGGUUCAGGGGCUUCGACCACACUGAACACCUCGAUUGGAGCAUGAGUUUUGAAUUUCAGAAGAGUGUGCUUAUCUGGCAUAUAGCCACAAGGAUCUUCCUGAAUGACCCUGCCGUGAAAUCAAAGCUGGUCAACAAGGACAAGGACAUGGCUGAAGCAGUGCAUACUCUCUCAAAUUACAUGAUGUACCUCCUCAUUGAGCACCCUGGCAUGCUGCCCGUCAACGCAGCUGCUCGAGACCUGUUUCGCCAAACCUGCACCAGUUACAUACAAGGAUCCACUAGUGCAGUUAAACUUGAGUCGUGGAUAACUAGGCUUUACGAGGAAGGGACUCAUCAGGGGAUAAGUGAACUAUGUCGUGACUUGACGCAAGCCAGUUGGGAUGCUUCCCCGGGCGAAGCUAUGCUGGUGAAAUCAUGGGUCCUUGCUCACAUAAUGCUCGACAUGGAGCUGGGGCUCACACAUAAGAUUGUAAUAAUUGGAGCAGCGUGGACCGAAAUGUUGUGCUACGCAGCAACCAAUGCAACUGAGCAAUUCCACGGCAGACAGCUGAGCAAUGGUGGUGAGUUUCUGACUCACAUCUUGCUCCUCAAUAAAUAUUGUGCUCCUAUAGACGAGAAACCAAAGGCGCCCAAAGCAGUUGAUGAACCGUCCAGUUUCUGGCUCUAG